GGAUUAGAUACCCUGGUAGUCCUAGCCGUAAACGAUGGGCACUAGAUAGGGGAGGCGCCUAUGGUCUUCUCUGUCGUAGCUAAUGUGUUAAGUGCCCCGCCUGGGGAGUACGCUCGCAAGGGUAAAACUCAAAGGAAUUGACGGGGGAUCACACAAGCGGUGGAGCAUGUGGUUUAAUUCGAAGCAACGCGAAGAACCUUACCCGGCCUUGACAUGCAUGGAUUAGCUCCCUGAAAGGGGAGUGACGCCUCUUCGGAGGUGGAACAUGUGCAGGUGUUGCAUGGCUGUCGUCAGCUCGUGCCG
This 303-nucleotide ribosomal RNA is filed under the name uncultured bacterium. RNAcentral describes it as "bacterial SSU rRNA". It matches the Rfam family "Bacterial small subunit ribosomal RNA", at positions 775 to 1067 of the family's 1533-position model. The record is from RNAcentral.